GUUCCUGCUCCAACAAAACCACCUCGCAUUCCUCUCGGAGUCUCCUCCACUUCCUCUCUGCGCUCUGCUCGUCGUCCCAGUGCAUGCACACCUAAUACGUGGAGAGAGAAAGAGAAAUAGAGAGAGAGGGGUGUCAUCGAAGCAUCGUAAGCGCCGCAUCUGACUGAGCCGGACGAAAUUAAAACUCACUCACCGGCUGCAAUGAGCCAUCCGGCUCUACUGCAGCAUGACGAUAUGGCUCGAUCUGUGACAGAUCUGACUCUGUCACCCAAAAGAAACUCGCUAUGAAUACAGGACUGAGAUCUUGCUCAAUCGCAGUGAUUCAAAUUCAUGGUAAAAAAAGAAAACAUCGGCAGGUAAGGUUAAAUAAAGAGGUGGAGGGCUUCUGGUCCAUGUGGAAGUAGAAUAAGAUCUGGCGGGGCUAGUAAGCACACACGCCCCCUUAAGCCCCGUUCACACCAAGGACAACAAUAACCAUAAAGAUAAUGAUAUUAGCUUCCACACCAGCAUACGUUAUCAUCUGUUUUAUUGUAAGCACGCCGCGUGCGUGUCUGCUGCUUUAAUUUUUAAGCUCGUUAUAGCAGGAAGGAUUCUAAUUGGCCGUCAAUGUUUGUAUCAUUCAAAAAAACCUUCUAAAUGCAAAUCCAAUGAUAUUGUUUCUCUGUGCCUUUAUUGUUAUAGCUGUGGACUAUUCUUUAAUAUUCAGAAUGAUUUUUGCAUGACACAAUCAAACACUGACAACCGAUCAAGAAUCCAUCCUGCUGUAACAAGCUCAAAAAUGUAAAGCAGCAGAGGUGCAUGCGAUAAGAUUAAACGCUAACAUUGUUAUCUUAUUGUUAGUGUUAUAGCGAUAUUGCUAUCUAUGUUUAUAGAUAUCGUGCUUGGUGUGAACAGGCCUUUAGACAUGGUUUGUUUUUAAACUGAAUUUUUAAGAAUUGUAGGUCCAUUCAGAUGAUUCGAUUUGAAUGCUUAAAAAGCAUUUAUAACUAAAUAUAAAAGUUUUAAUUAAACAUUGGAUUGUAAAUAUAAUAGAGUGCAUUUUGGGCAACAAUAGACCAUUUAUAAGUUUGAUUCAAAUUAAUGUUUCAUUUAAAUGUUCACAUUUACGGUCUUUUUUGGGCUACUAUAAGCGUGUUUUAACGUUCCUUUUAAAAAAAAUGUUUAAAUGUUUGAUUCAGUAUUUCAGAAAUUUGUGGUUGCUCAAACGAAAUCCAAGGUCACAGUUUCUUUUUUCAAGUAACGCACUGCUGAGAAAAUGCAUAGCCCAAAAGCAUUGCUUUGGGCAUUUAGCCUGAAAGUUGCUUUGGGUAUAAGUGUCUGCCAAACACAUGCUAAUUUGAAUUUUAGGGCAUUCUGGGUGCAUUCGGAAGUUUGAUUUAAAUGUUUGAAUGUUUUAUCAAGCGUUUUGUAGACAUUAUAACUGCAUGUGUCUGAAUGUAAAUAAUGUUAAACCCUGUAUGUGUAUUUGAGAAGACUCAAAUGUUUGAUCCAUAAUUUGAGAAUUAAACAGAACAAAAAACUG
Long non-coding RNA from Puntigrus tetrazona (Sumatra barb), 1522 nucleotides. RefSeq lists it as uncharacterized. NCBI's taxonomy places the organism in Eukaryota, Metazoa, Chordata, Actinopteri, Cypriniformes, Cyprinidae. The transcript is spliced from 2 exons. The record is from RefSeq and is a predicted model, not a curated record.